GGAUGCGAUCAUACCAGCACUAAAGCACCGGAUCCCAUCAGAACUCCGAAGUUAAGCGUGCUUGGGCGAGAGUAGUACUAGGAUGGGUGACCUCCUCGGAAGUCCUCGUGUUGCACUCCU
RNAcentral lists this ribosomal RNA (120 nucleotides) under Allium deltoidefistulosum. Lineage: Eukaryota; Viridiplantae; Streptophyta; Magnoliopsida; Asparagales; Amaryllidaceae. The record is from RNAcentral.